UUAAGGGUGAGACGAAUCAAAAUCUAAUGGUUUUUCAUGUCCUUCACUUUUCAGGCGGAGUAAUGGCGGUGGAGGGGAUUUUGAGGUCUACCAUGGUUUAGAAAAGAUGAUGGAAGAGAUGUAAAGUUGACAUGAGAAGGAUAUGAUUGAUGGACGGCGUGGGGAGAUAUAUUGAUGACCACCGGAAAUUGCCAUUUUCCAGUGGUCUGUAGGUGGAAACG
This 221-nucleotide long non-coding RNA is filed under the name Solanum tuberosum (potato). RNAcentral's name for it is "long non-coding RNA (STUB_LNC009939)". The record is from RNAcentral. Lineage: Eukaryota; Viridiplantae; Streptophyta; Magnoliopsida; Solanales; Solanaceae.